This 378-nucleotide ribosomal RNA is filed under the name uncultured eukaryote. RNAcentral describes it as "partial 18S ribosomal RNA". It matches the Rfam family "Eukaryotic small subunit ribosomal RNA", at positions 592 to 976 of the family's 1831-position model. The record is from RNAcentral.
CAAUAGCGUAUAUUAAAGUUGUUGCAGUUAAAAAGCUCGUAGUUGGAUUUGUGGUACGUCCCGCCGGCUGGAUCAUUGACUUUUGCUGUGCUGGUCGUCCAUCCUUGGGUGGAAUCUGUGUGGCAUUAGGUUGUCGCGCAGGGGAUGCCCAUCGUUUACUGUGAAAAAAUUAGAGUGUUCAAAGCAGGCUUAUGCCGUUGAAUAUAUUAGCAUGGAAUAAUGAUAUAGGACCUUGGUACUAUUUUGUUGGUUUGCGCAUCGAGGUAAUGAUUAAUAGGGACAGUUGGGGGUAUUCGUAUUCCAUUGUAAGAGGUGAAAUUCUUGGAUUUUUGGAAGACGAACUACUGCGAAAGCAUUUACCAAGGAUGUUUUCAUUAA